Molecule: ribosomal RNA, 628 nt
Filed under: uncultured fungus
Lineage: Eukaryota; Fungi
Description: eukaryotic LSU rRNA
Rfam family: 5.8S ribosomal RNA (bases 242-395)
Source: RNAcentral
CUUGGUCAUUUAGAGGAAGUAAAAGUCGUAACAAGGUCUCCGUUGGUGAACCAGCGGAGGGAUCAUUACCGAGUUAUUCUACUCCCAAACCCCUGUGAACUUAUACCUUUACUGUUGCUUCGGCGGGUUAACGCCCCGGAAGGCCCGCGAGGGCCGCCGGAACCAGGCGCCCGCCGGGGGACCCAAACUCUUGUAUCUUUUUUAUAGCAUGUCUGAGUGGAAUCAUAAACAAAUGAAUCAAAACUUUCAACAACGGAUCUCUUGGUUCUGGCAUCGAUGAAGAACGCAGCGAAAUGCGAUACGUAAUGUGAAUUGCAGAAUUCAGUGAAUCAUCGAAUCUUUGAACGCACAUUGCGCCCAUUAGUAUUCUAGUGGGCAUGCCUGUUCGAGCGUCAUUUCAACCCUUAAGCCUAGCUUGGUGUUGGGAAUCUACACCAAAGGCUUCUAGCCCUACUGUAGUUCCUGAAAAUCAACGGCGGAUCUGUAAUAAUCCUCUGAGCGUAGUAAUUCUUUAUCUCGCUUUUGUUAGGUGUUAUAGCCCUUGCCGCUAAACCCCCCAAUUUUUAAUGGUUGACCUCGGAUCAGGUAGGAAUACCCGCUGAACUUAAGCAUAUCAAUAAGCGGAGGA